Molecule: transfer RNA, 72 nt
Filed under: Fukomys damarensis (Damara mole-rat)
Lineage: Eukaryota; Metazoa; Chordata; Mammalia; Rodentia; Bathyergidae
Rfam family: tRNA
About the family: Transfer RNA (tRNA) molecules are approximately 80 nucleotides in length. Their secondary structure includes four short double-helical elements and three loops (D, anti-codon, and T loops). Further hydrogen bonds mediate the characteristic L-shaped molecular structure. tRNAs have two regions of fundamental functional importance: the anti-codon, which is responsible for specific mRNA codon recognition, and the 3' end, to which the tRNAs corresponding amino acid is attached (by aminoacyl-tRNA synthetases). tRNAs cope with the degeneracy of the genetic code in two manners: having more than one tRNA (with a specific anti-codon) for a particular amino acid; and 'wobble' base-pairing, i.e. permitting non-standard base-pairing at the 3rd anti-codon position.
Source: Rfam by way of RNAcentral
GGGGACAUGGUUCAGAGACACAAUGCCUGCUUGGCAAGUAUGAGGCCCUGGGUUCAAUUCCCGGUUACCUCC